GAAGAACCCUGUCAGGAAACACUCUCAUUAUUUCAUACUCAAUUCCUCUAGAACGUUGAGAGCUACGACCCAAUCCUGAACCCUGUCCUAUCCUAGACGACAACAGAAUCAUUACUGAGCUUGAGACUCUUAAGGAAGAGGCUGCAGAAGUUCAGAGGAAGAUGGAGGAGACUGAUACUGUAAUGGCUGAAGUUGACAGAGUCUCCCAGCAAUACCUGCCACUCUCCACCUCCUGCUCUGCCAUGUACUUCACUCUGGAGUCACUCAAUCAGGCUGUGGACCUGAGGCUGAACUCAUCAUCUCAAGGACUGAUCUCUCAUUCAUAUACUGAAGAUCUAUAGACUGGGUUUAGGAACUAAGGACUGUAACACUAUAAGACUGGUUUAAUUAAUUAAAAUCAUUGUUGACUUGUACUCUACAUGUAUGACUGAAGUGUGUUUCUUAUU
This is a long non-coding RNA of Amphimedon queenslandica, 446 nucleotides long. RefSeq lists it as uncharacterized. The record is from RefSeq and is a predicted model, not a curated record. Lineage: Eukaryota; Metazoa; Porifera; Demospongiae; Haplosclerida; Niphatidae. The transcript has 3 exons.